This 429-nucleotide ribosomal RNA is filed under the name Bacteroidota bacterium. Its description in RNAcentral is "Bacteroidetes bacterium partial 16S ribosomal RNA". It matches the Rfam family "Bacterial small subunit ribosomal RNA", at positions 355 to 776 of the family's 1533-position model. Lineage: Bacteria; Pseudomonadati; Bacteroidota. The record is from RNAcentral.
UAGGGAAUCUUCCGCAAUGGACGCAAGUCUGACGGAGCAACGCCGCGUGAGUGAAGAAGGAUUUCGGUUCGUAAAACUCUGUUGUUAGAGAAGAACAGCGCAUAGAGUAACUGUUAUGCGUGUGACGGUAUCUAACCAGAAAGCCACGGCUAACUACGUGCCAGCAGCCGCGGUAAUACGUAGGUGGCAAGCGUUGUCCGGAUUUAUUGGGCGUAAAGCGAGCGCAGGCGGUCAAUUAAGUCUGAUGUGAAAGCCCCCGGCUCAACCGGGGAGGGUCAUUGGAAACUGGUUGACUUGAGUGCAGAAGCGGAGAGUGGAAUUCCAUGUGGAGCGGUGAAAUGCGUAGAGAUAUGGAGGAACACCAGUGGCGAAGGCGACUCUCUGGUCUGUAACUGACGCUGAGGCUCGAAAGCGUGGGUAGCAAACAGG